This 108-nucleotide small nuclear RNA is filed under the name Phascolarctos cinereus (koala). The record is from RNAcentral. Lineage: Eukaryota; Metazoa; Chordata; Mammalia; Diprotodontia; Phascolarctidae.
GUACUCACAGAGGCAGCACAUAUACUAAAAAUUGAAGUGAUACAGACCUGAUUAGUAAGGCUCCUGUGGAAGGAUGAUACAAAACUUUGUCAAAUUUCUUCUGUAUCG